Molecule: long non-coding RNA, 374 nt
Filed under: Nicotiana benthamiana
Lineage: Eukaryota; Viridiplantae; Streptophyta; Magnoliopsida; Solanales; Solanaceae
Description: long non-coding RNA (NBEN_LNC035425)
Source: RNAcentral
CCGGAUGAUGGGCAAGGACGACAAUGAUAUGUCAAGAGUGGAGUUUCUGUGGCAGGGAGUCUAGGAGGAGCCACACUUGACUCUCCAACGGUUGGAAUGGGUAAGACUUCUGUAGCGGAAGGUGUAGGAGGAGCUAUAGUAGAAUCCCUAAAGGCAGGUAUAUGUAAAACCUCAGAUAUAUCAAGAUGGUCAGAAUGGUAAGAAGAGGUAAAGAAAGGUUUAGACUCAAAAAAUGUGACAUCAGCUGACAUAAGGUAGCUACGAAGAUCAGGUCAAUAACAACGAUAGCCCUUCUGGACACGAGAAUAACCAAGGAAGACACACUUGAGAGCACGAGGAGCUAACUUAUCUUUCCCAGGGGCUAAGUUAUGNNN